CAGUAGCCACGGGAAUACGAAGGGUGCAAGCGUUAAUCGGAAUUACUGGGCGUAAAGCGUGCGUAGGCGGUUUGUUAAGUCUGUUGUGAAAUCCCCGGGCUCAACCUGGGAAUGGCAAUGGAUACUGGCAAGCUAGAGUGUGUCAGAGGAUGGUGGAAUUCCCGGUGUAGCGGUGAAAUGCGUAGGGAUCGGGAGGAACAUCAGUGGCGAAGGCGGCCAUCUGGGACAACACUGACGCUGAGGCACGAAAGCGUGGGGAGCAAACAGGAUUAGAUACCCCGGUAGUCCCUGUCUCUUAUUC
This 301-nucleotide ribosomal RNA is filed under the name uncultured bacterium. Its description in RNAcentral is "partial 16S ribosomal RNA". It matches the Rfam family "Bacterial small subunit ribosomal RNA", at positions 509 to 809 of the family's 1533-position model. The record is from RNAcentral.